Small nucleolar RNA from Hippocampus comes (tiger tail seahorse), 151 nucleotides. The record is from Ensembl. Lineage: Eukaryota; Metazoa; Chordata; Actinopteri; Syngnathiformes; Syngnathidae.
CCUCUGUGAAGAUACGAUGACGAGUCGGAUGCGAACUUUGUUAGUCGCCAGGCGGCCGCUUCAGAUCGCGUCCUGCGAUUCUGCUUCGACUUCCUGCGGCCUGACAAAGUUUUCGACCUGCUGAAGACGCUGAGGCAUUUGUCUGAGAGGG